This is a non-coding RNA of Pelodiscus sinensis (Chinese soft-shelled turtle), 353 nucleotides long. The record is from RefSeq and is a predicted model, not a curated record. NCBI's taxonomy places the organism in Eukaryota, Metazoa, Chordata, Testudines, Trionychidae.
GUUUGCUGUUCCUCAAGGAGGUCCCUAUUCUACAAGCACUCCCUAUAUGGACAGGUCUAAAGGGAUCAUGCUGUGAAUGGGAAGGAAUCAAGAUCAUGCUUCAGGCAGAAGUUAAAUGGUAAGUGUUCUGAAAAGCAAGAAAUUGUAGCGGUAUCUGGUUCUGUCUCACUAACCUGAGUAGCGUUGGAGAAACUCCCAGGAAAGCUCAGGAAGGAUUGACUUGUUGUUUUAUUGCUCAGAAAAAGCAAAGACUCUGUGGUUUUGUUUUACUUUCUGGGAGAAAUAAUCACUCUUUAGUUCUCAUGGUUUGAGGGAAAAUAUUUUUUCUUAAUAACCUGUAUUUUGAAAAAUAA